This 254-nucleotide ribosomal RNA is filed under the name uncultured bacterium. Its description in RNAcentral is "partial 16S ribosomal RNA". It matches the Rfam family "Bacterial small subunit ribosomal RNA", at positions 524 to 776 of the family's 1533-position model. The record is from RNAcentral.
UACAGAGGAGCCAAGCGUUGUCCGGAUUGACUGGGCGUAAAGAGCUCGUAGGUGGUUCGGUAAGUCGGAUGUGAAAUCUCCAGGCUCAACCUGGAGGGGUCAUUCGAUACUGCCGUGACUAGAGUUCGGUAGGGGAGUGUGGAAUUCCUGGUGGAGCGGUGAAAUGCGCAGAUAUCAGGAGGAACACCCGUAGCGAAGGCGGCACUCUGGGCCGAUACUGACACUGAGGAGCGAAAGCGUGGGGAGCGAACAGG